This is a non-coding RNA of Lonchura striata (white-rumped munia), 289 nucleotides long. Lineage: Eukaryota; Metazoa; Chordata; Aves; Passeriformes; Estrildidae. The record is from RefSeq and is a predicted model, not a curated record.
ACAGCAGGGAACCUAUGCACACUUGGCUUUUGGGUGGUUACCGAAGGGCUCUCCCUGGUGCUGCAGAUGCAUACAGGGAGCCACUGGAGUGACAUGAAUCUAAUCAGGGGCUGAUGCCACAUCAGAAAUCCCAUCAAGUUAUCUUCCAGUCCCAACAAGCUUUCCCCUGAAACAAACCAUCUUGUCAUGGCUUGGAGAGCCCCUGCAUAUAUUGUGUUCCCAGCAGGGUUUCUUAAUGGGCUCAGUAGUCAGAAACUGAAUUUUAUUUUACAAACCACAGACAAAAAAC